Molecule: ribosomal RNA, 439 nt
Filed under: uncultured bacterium
Lineage: Bacteria
Description: partial 16S ribosomal RNA
Rfam family: Bacterial small subunit ribosomal RNA
Source: RNAcentral
CCUACGGGCGGCAGCAGUGGGGGAUAUUGCACAAUGGGGGAAACCCUGAUGCAGCGACGCCGCGUGAGGGAAGACGGCCUUCGGAUUGUAAACCUCUGUCUGUGGGGAAGAAAAUGACGGUACCUGAAGAGGAAGCUCCGGCUAACUACGUGCCAGCAGCCGCGGUAAUACGUAGGGAGCGAGCGUUGUCCGGAAUUACUGGGUGAAAGGGGAGCGUAGGCGGGUGGGAAGGUUGAAUGUAAAAGCUACGGGCUAAACCGGUAGCUGCGUUGAAAACUUCUUGUCUUGAGUGAAGUAGAGGCAGGCGGAAUUCCUAGUGUAGCGGUGAAAUGCGUAGAUAUUAGGAGGAACACCAGUGGCGAAGGCGGCCUACUGGACUUUAACUGACGCUGAGGCUCGAAAGCGUGGGGAGCAAACAGGAUUAGAUACCCGAGUAGUC